GGAUUGUGGCUCAGUGUAGAGUGCUCGCCUAGCACGGGCGGGACCGGGGUUCGAUCCUCAGCACCA
This 66-nucleotide transfer RNA is filed under the name Marmota monax (woodchuck). RNAcentral describes it as "tRNA.Ala". Lineage: Eukaryota; Metazoa; Chordata; Mammalia; Rodentia; Sciuridae. The record is from RNAcentral.